GACGAACGCUGGCGGCGUGCUUAACACAUGCAAGUCGAACGGAAAGGCCCUGCUUUUGUGGGGUGCUCGAGUGGCGAACGGGUGAGUAACACGUGAGUAACCUGCCCUUGACUUUGGGAUAACUUCAGGACACUGGGGCUAAUACCGGAUAGGAGCUCCUGCUGCCUGGUGUGGGUUGGAAAGUUUCGGCGGUUGGGGAUGGUCUCGCGGCUUAUCAGCUUGUCGGUGGGGUAGUGGCUUACCUAGGCUUUGACGGGUAGCCGGCCUGAGAGGGUGACCGGCCACAUUGGGACUGAGAGACGGCCCAGACUCCUACGGGAGGCAGCAGUGGGGAAUAUUGCACAAUGGGCGGAAGCCUGAUGCAGCAACGCCGCGUGCGGGAUGACGGCCUUCGGGUUGUAAACCGAUUUCGCCGGUGACGAAGCGUGAGUGACGGUAAUGGGUAAAGAAGCACCGGCUAACUACGUG
Molecule: ribosomal RNA, 468 nt
Filed under: uncultured bacterium
Lineage: Bacteria
Description: partial 16S ribosomal RNA
Rfam family: Bacterial small subunit ribosomal RNA
Source: RNAcentral